Molecule: ribosomal RNA, 417 nt
Filed under: uncultured bacterium
Lineage: Bacteria
Description: bacterial SSU rRNA
Rfam family: Bacterial small subunit ribosomal RNA
Source: RNAcentral
UAUUGGUCAAUGGACGCAAGUCUGAACCAGCCAUGCCGCGUGCAGGAUGACGGCUCUAUGAGUUGUAAACUGCUUUUGUACGAGGGUAAACCCCGAUACGUGUAUUGGGUUGAAAGUAUCGUACGAAUAAGGAUCGGCUAACUCCGUGCCAGCAGCCGCGGUAAUACGGCUGAUCCGAGCGUUAACCGGAUUUAUUGGGUUUAAAGGGUGCGUAGGCGGUUUGAUAAGUUAGAGGUGAAAUGUCGGGGCUCAACCCCGAAACUGCCUCUAAUACUGUUGAACUAGAGAGUAGUUGCGGUAGGCGGAAUGUAUGGUGUAGCGGUGAAAUGCUUAGAGAUCAUACAGAACACCGAUUGCGAAGGCAGCUUACCAAACUAUAUCUGACGUUGAGGCACGAAAGCGUGGGGAGCAAACAGG